Molecule: small RNA, 2507 nt
Filed under: Rattus norvegicus (Norway rat)
Lineage: Eukaryota; Metazoa; Chordata; Mammalia; Rodentia; Muridae
Description: uncharacterized LOC102550051
Source: RNAcentral
GAAUGCUUGCCUAGUAUGCACAAGGCUUGCAUACCAUCUCCAGUACUGCACCCACAAAAGCGGUACUUCAAGAGUAUGUUUUUAUAUAUUUUGGGAGUACUUUUCUGAAUAUAUUCUGAGAUCAAGUUCAACACCGAUCACUUAUGUACCAAGUCUCAUGUGGCCGCUGGGUGUGAACUAACAGUAGAUUAAGGUGUGGAAGUGACCCUGAAGCUUUGUCCCUCAAAGAAACUUCUAUCCUGGCUUAGCUGGGAGCCGGUGGUCAGGCUGAGGUGAUGAAGCCUGACUCAUUUGAUCACUCACUUUGCUACAGACACUGUGGGACUACAGCAAGGAGUCAGACCGUGAAAGGCCACAGUUGUAGAGGGAUGGCAUAGAUGGGAGUGGACCCAGGCAAAUGUGAUGUCUGCAGAGGACAGAGCUGCUGCAGUAGCCAAGUAAUCACUACUCAAAUUUUGGGGAUUAGCGGCGUACAAUUCCAUCCGAAAAUCCAUAACACAGAGAAAAAAACCAUGAACUCUCAAGGGCAGAGUGUCCUCCUGUAGCUGAGACUCACUGGAGGAGAGAGACUUCCUGGAGGAAGAGGCCAUGUGUAGGCUUUGAGCUUUAGUCUCCCGGGGAUUAGUGAGUUUUAUGAGAACAACACAAUAGGAUUAAGCCACAUCAAUCAAAGCUGGCUUGGCUUUGGCUGGGAGCCCUUGAAAGGGUGAAGAGGCAGAGGCAGCUGGGGGUUUUGGUCUCAUUUGGAGACAAUGGCUUUUAUUAAGAAUGUACCCAUCACCAGAUGUGCAAGGGAUGGCUCAGACAGGACCACUACUGGACCACCCGAUCAGUGAGUGGGGUCUAUACUGUUGGUAGAGCUGUGUUACCCAGUUGGCUUGACUAAUGUGUUCCCAAGGAAGUAAGCUGGUGUGGGGGCAGCGGGGAGAAAAAUCUCUUCCUGGUUAUACAACUGGAGGAUCCUCUCCUGUGGUGAUAUUUGUCCCUGGCUGCCCUCCCGCACCUCAGUAAUCAAUCCUUCUCAGAAAGAAAGCUUGCUGGGUAAGGGGGAAAGGUGGACGAGAUCCUCCCGUCCUUAGGAGGAGGAAACAGAAAAUAGAGAAAAAUGUCAAUCUUAGCAACCUGAUGGGAUUUUACAUAGCAAAGAGAAAAGGCUUCUCAUUGAAAAAAGAAUAGGGUAAUUGGAUGAACACUGAACAAUUCCAUAAUGCUUGGGUGACACUGGAAGCCAGUGAGCUGUCCCCUUAGAGAGUACAGCAGGAAGGGACUGGAGGGCCUGCUCAGCUCCUGCUCUGCCUCAUGCUAGACCAAGCAGGUGAGGUGAAGAAAGGCAGGAAGCCAUGCUGACUUUCAAGCCUUCAGAAAGGCCACCAGUCCUUAGAUCACUGGGUGGUCCCAACAGCUUCCUGAGAGCAGGAAGGACCUCUGUGGUUAUGAUACCUGUUUGACAAUCAGAUGCUCAAAGAAUUAAAGUAGUUUGCCAAAAUCUAUGCAUUUGAUCACUACCUGCGCAGGGUCUGGGCUCUCCCCUUCAGCCAGCUGCUCCUGGGAAGGGGAUGAGGGAACAAGCCCCAGCACACUGCCUGCCAUGAGAUCUCUAAAUAGACCUUGCUUUCAGUAUGAACAUCACGUCCAAGUGAAGAUGAGAAAAGGGGCUGAGAGGGGAAUGGGUAACACUUUCCGAGGGGCCAGUGUUUGUAUGAGCAGCACUUCCUGAACCUGCCAUGGUCCCUGAAGAGGCCACAGGUCUUGAAGUAAACGAACGUAGACAUGUCCAGAGUCCUCUCCAGGCAGAGCUGGUCCAGGAUCAUGCCAGCUGGCUAGGUGACAGAGGAGGGCAGACUGUUUGGCCUGGAGUCAGGCCAGCCUGACUGAAAGAAAGAGUCAUGUCACUCUGCCCUGAAGCUUUGUGGUGUCACCCUGGUUAUUGCCACCCACCUUCAUCACACCUCACCCCACCACAGCCAACUGUGACUGAGCGGAUCUCUGGAACUUACAGGAUCCUUGAAGCCACUCAAUGCUUCUGAAUGUUGCCCGGAACAUCUCGGCUAAGGUUAGAGACCACGAAUGGAUCCUGGCCAGGCUGGCUUCUUUGGUGAAGUGUCUGGCUUAUCCAGAAGACCAGCUCUUCUCCAGCCACCUCAAGCUCCCAGGAGCUCACUGGAUGGAAGAGAAGUGAACUUGACCUGCUGUUUCUGCACCCACAUCUUCUAGACUGCUGUUCCCGAUCCCUGCUAGGUCUGUUUGUGUCUCCCAUGUAGGUCCCUCCUCUGUGAGGAGUUUAUCCCACCCUACUCCACCCUACCCCAGUGUUAAUGUGACUGAAUGAGCCCCGUUGUUGGGUUAUUGAUCUGAAGCUUUAUUGUAUUUUGAAUUGUUUAUCUAAACACCUGCUUUGAUUGGUGGCCAUAAUCAAUCACCCUGUUCUCGUUUACUGAGAGUUUUCUGUAGCCAGUCAUCCCUCCUCCUUCUCCUUCUUUUCCUCCUCCUCUCCCUCCUCCUCCUCU